RNAcentral lists this ribosomal RNA (279 nucleotides) under uncultured bacterium. Its description in RNAcentral is "partial 16S ribosomal RNA". It matches the Rfam family "Bacterial small subunit ribosomal RNA", at positions 506 to 784 of the family's 1533-position model. The record is from RNAcentral.
UGCCAGCCGCCGCGGUAAUACGGAGGGGGCGAGCGUUAUUCGGAAUUAUUGGGCGUAAAGGGCUCGCAGGCUGCUUGAACAGUUAGACGUGAAAUCCCCGGGCUCAACCUGGGAACUGCGUUUAAUACUAGCAAGCUAGAGAAAUAGAGAGGAAAGUGGAACUCCCAGUGUAGAGGUGAAAUUCGUAGAUAUUGGGAAGAACACCAGUGGCGAAAGCGCUCUGCUGGGCCAUCACUGACGCUCAUGGACGAAAGCCAGGGGAGCGAAAGGGAUUAGAUA